CACGGAGAAUUUCCCAGGCUCGUGAGAGAGUUCCCUGCUUCCCCGGCAGCGAUGGCCCCCGUGUCCCGUUCUGCAAUCCGGAACGCGAGGCCCCGGGCUCCGCGGGGAAGGGUCGCAGUUCGUGGAAGCGUCCUGACCACAGAAAAUCCACCACGGGGCCCCGCGGGGCCGUCGCUCGCGCUCGCGCUCGCCCUCUCGGAAUAGCCGAGAAUAGCCCGAGCCCCCCACGGAGUGGCCUCAGCCCCGCGUUCCGGGACCGACCCUGCCCAUCCCGUUAGCGGUCACGUUCUCCGGAGCGGCCCUCUGCGCCGCGGGACACCCCUUCGCCUCUGCCUGUCGCGGCCGCUCCCCGCGCCGCUCCGGGACCCACAGGCCGUGGCCUGGCCUCCGGGACAAGGAGAGGGAGUUCAGCUCUGAUGAACACACACCAGUAGAGAUGAUGAGCUGAAGAAAAGCACCACGUCAGCUUCUACUUCAGAAGAAGAACAGAAGAAGAAGAGGAAAUCUAGCCAUUCAAAAGAAAGGUCCAAGAAAAAGAGAAAGAAAAAAUCAUCUAAAAGAAAACACAAGAAGUAUUCUGACAGUGACAGUGACUCUGACUCGGAGACAGACUCCAGCG
Molecule: long non-coding RNA, 619 nt
Organism: Hyaena hyaena (striped hyena)
Lineage: Eukaryota; Metazoa; Chordata; Mammalia; Carnivora; Hyaenidae
Exons: 3
Source: RefSeq, a predicted model, not a curated record